AAUUUUUUGGAAGAAUUUUUAUAUUUACAAAAAAGAAGUUGAUGGCUGAGAAAAGUUAUCAUAAUUAGCACAGUCUGCAAAGUUCAAUCUGAAUAAAGACGGAAUCUAAAUAAUAAUAAAUAAUAAAGGUUCGAGAGAGGGGAUAGAUAGUUAUGAAGAACUAUGGAUACUUGGAUUAAAGUAAUGACAAUAAAGGUCAUGUUAAAGCAUCGUAACUUCAAUCUG
Microplitis mediator is the source of this 225-nucleotide long non-coding RNA. RefSeq lists it as uncharacterized. The transcript has 2 exons. The record is from RefSeq and is a predicted model, not a curated record. NCBI's taxonomy places the organism in Eukaryota, Metazoa, Arthropoda, Insecta, Hymenoptera, Braconidae.